Homo sapiens (human) is the source of this 3849-nucleotide long non-coding RNA. Ensembl annotates it as long intergenic non-protein coding RNA 882. The record is from Ensembl. NCBI's taxonomy places the organism in Eukaryota, Metazoa, Chordata, Mammalia, Primates, Hominidae.
GGUCGCGGGGCAGCCGGGGCGGAAGGGGCUUGUUCAUUAUUUUGAGAGUUUGUUGUGAACGUCAUAACCUUUCGUCCUUAAAUAUUGCCGAUACUUGACCUACGCAAGAGACAAUGUCAUGUGAUUCAGCCUAAUAUCUCAGAGGAUGCAGCAUUCAAGGUUCUAUCUUGGAAGCAGAGACUGUGCCCUCACCAGAUGCUGAACCUGCUGAGCACCCUGAUCUUCCACUUCACCUUCAUCAGAACUGGACGCGCAUGAAAUUUGGUGCCGUGACUCGGAUCGGCGGACCUCCCUUAGGAGAUCAAUCCCCUGUCCUCCUGCUCUUUGCUCCAUGAGAAAGAUCCACCUACGACCUAAGGUCCUCAGACCAACCAGCCCAAGAAACAUCUCACCAAUUUCAAAUCCGAAAUCCUUCAUCUAAUCUGGCAAACACAUGUGGCAGGUUUUUCUCACCGCAUAAAAUAUGUUAUAGAGUAGUCCAUCUAUUUCUCUUCCAUGGAAGAGUUCAUCUGGUAGAUUGGACUACCACUUUUCCUUGUGGAGACCUAUUCUGUUGGGUUAGAGAUGACAGAAAAUCUUAUUUGUCGGUUGGUUUGUUUGUUCAAGAAUACACUGACCUUCUACAAGAAAGGAGAGCUCUUUGACACCUGGAAAUUUUACAGAAGCUUGGGACAGCUCUGAAUGGCAACACGGUCCUGAGAUAUGUGAUUACCUGGGACUUUCAUUGGACCUGCAUUUCAGCUCUACUCUCCUCACUGCCCUAUGCUGCUUUGACCCUAAAAGUGAAGCCAGCUUGGCCAGGUGCAGUGACUCACACCUGUAAUCCCAGCACUUUGGGAGGCCGAGGUGGGCAAAUCAAGAAGUCAGGAAAUCGAGACCACCCUGGCCAACAUUGUGAAACACCAUCUCUACUAAAACACAAAAAAAUUAGCCAGGUGUGGUGGCACGCACCUGUAGUCCCAGCUACUCGGGAGGCUGAGGCAGGGGAAUCACUUGAACCCGUGAGGAGGAAAUUGCAGCGAGCCAAGAUCGCGCCACUGCACCCCAGCCUGGGCGACAGAGAGAGACUCCAUCUCAAAAACAAAACAAAACAAAACAAAAAAAACAAAAAGUGAAGCCAACUCAAUUGUCUCAUAGAACUGAUCUUUACGGUGUUUUUAAAUAAACAUAGAAAUUGGCCCUCCCAGUCUUAAAACUUCAAAAACUUACAUUUGUCUUACCUCAGUUCCUUUCUCAGGAAUCCAAUCAUCAAGGCUCCCAGAUAGUAUCAAUGAACGGAAACUUACCAGAUCACGAUAUCUGGACAAUGAGAUGUCAGAUCCCCCUCAUCCAUCCUGAUUACCUAACUGACUACCUGCUUCCUGUUGGCCAACUACUCUUCCUUACCCCUCCCUAAUUCUUGUUUUCCCACAAAUGGUUACAUUUCUGUCCUGCUAUAGAAGCCCUUAAUUUUAAUUGGUCGAGGAGAUGGAUUUGAGACUGAUUUUUUGCUCUCCUUGGCUGUUGCACCUGAAUAGCCUUUUUCCCUGGCAAUACUUUUUGUCUCAGUGAUUGGCUUUCUGUGCAGUGAGCAAUGGGACCAAACUUCUGGUGUUUUGGUAACAAAUUUUGGUUUCCUGACUGUGAAUGCAUUGCUUGUGACUCAGCUGCCAUGAGCUGGGAGAGUUUCAAAAGCCCUCUAAGCAGCUACCUGACCAUUUUGGCCAGAGGUGGAUUUUCGUCUCUCCCCAUUUGGGCCCACUUCUGCCAACCCCAACCAUGUUCCUGAUUGCCUAGGAAGAACAGCCUUUGAAAUUUGACGUCUAUGUACAGAAAGGUACAAACUGUUGCCUAAGGAUACAGGGUGUGUGGCUGGUGGCCUCAACAGGCCCCACGGCUCAGGCACUCAGACCCAAGCUGGUCCCUCAGCCCAUAUUACUAAAUGCCUGACUUCAGAAAAAAAACGUAAACAAAAGACAGAGAUUGGAAGCAUCAGAAUUUUAUUCCAGUGACUCAAUCCCCAUUGUGUGAAGUAGACCAGAAUGAAUAAAUUGAACUUACUCAGCACCUCAAUUAUUAAAUGUAUCCACAGAAAUUCAUUCUGUCAAGUUAACUGUGGAGGUUGUUGUUGCUAUUGCAGACUAAAUGGUUUUCCUGGGAACUCUGACUCUGGCCACAAGAUCAAGACUGACAAAUUUCCUUUCUCUGUUUAUGGAGGGAGACUUCACAACAUUCACUGAAAGAGGAGCAAAGGACCUGGUUUUUGCCAUGACUGGCUUUGGCCCCGUGAAUGAAUGUUUUUCUGGCAUUGGAAAGCGGAUAGCAAAGAGAGCAGAACCACAAAUGGGCUAUGAGGAAAUGUGUUCAAUGAAGAAAACAAAAUCUCUGACAAGAUCCAACAUAGGACAACAUCUCAGCAUCUUCUGUGAUUUGUGAACCCAAGUAAAGCACUUCUUAGAGUUAUCUGGCACAUUCGCAACUAAUAGCUUUCUGUGAAUAAAUACUGUGGCAACCACGUUAACUGUACAAAAACAAAUUGCUUAUUUCUUAUAUCCAUGCUGGAAGAUUAUCUGGCUGACCUUAUCAGCUGUGAUGUCAGGAAUGUCAGCCAGUUAUCCUGUGGUGCAUUCAGCUGGGUCAUUGUACCCCAUCAGUGAGGCAAUUGCAAAGUUCCAUCUGGACAGAGGUAGAAAAAAUUAUAUUCACUUUGAGUUUUGGAUUUUUUUCUCUUAAUUUUCAAAGAUAAAGACAAUUGCUUUUGGCUUUUAAGAGACACAUCUGGUAUGCCUUGGGCUGGAUGCCAGAUAUUUCUGCUGUUGAGUUUUUAUAACAUUAUAUAGGCCUCAAUAUUUUAGAACUAGUAUACAUUUGAUAAAAGUGACUUUUCUAAAGUUUUAGGGAGAAUCUUUUGCUUAGGUGCAGCUGAGUAUUUUUAGUUCAGUACUACAGAUGGCAUACCAAAUUUAAGAGGAGUUGAGUGACUGCUUCAAGGUUGCACAGCUAGUUCUUGGUAGAUCUGGAAAAGGACCAACAUCUCUUGGCCCUUUGUCAGAUAUUCUUUCUUUGAUUUCACACUGUUUUUAAAGAUGCUUAAUACAUUUUAAAUUAAAAUGGUUAUUUGAAUCUGCUUAAACUAGACAAUACUAAUUGUCAAACAUCCAUUACCUGCUUUUUCUCUAGUAACAGAUUGGUGCAAAAAGAAUUGCGGUUUUUGCCAUUACUUUUAAUGGCAUUAAUUACUUUUAAUGGCAAAAACCUUAGUUCCUUUUGCACCAGCCUAAUAAUAAAACCCCUAAUUUUAACUUGGCACGUGGCCAACCAGAAUAGAAACUACAUGUUCCUGCUUUGCUUUCAGUAGCAUUAGCUGAAGUAAUCUUCAAUGGGGAUAGGAAAAAUGAGGUGCACAACUGCCUGGUUGCACUCUUAUAGGAAAGGCAUAACCCUCCAUUUCCCUUUUAUCUUUUCCACUCACUAGAGUAGUGAUCUGGUCAUAAUUCAUUCUGGACCAUGUUGACAGGGCAAUAUACUGGAGAUUGUAGAGAAGAAGUCAGAAGGGACUUGGAUCCCUGAUACUAUGGAACUGUCUUGCAGCCCUAGUUUGCUUAUGUCUAGACUUUUAUGCAAGAGAAAAAAUAAACAUUUCUUUGUUUUAACUACUGAUACUUAGAUCUUAGCUACAGCAACUGAACACACAAUGCUAUUUAAUAAUUUGCAAAUGUUAUACUGCCAGUUGAUAUUUUAUAACUACCAAAUUUAAGUGCAGUAAAUGGGCAUUAUGCUUGUUUAAAUGUCUGGCAAUCUUGGAAUUAUACCAUUACCAUCAUAUGUUGCAUGAGAUGGUUUUCCAUUCCAUUUAGAGUCCGUACAAUA